Molecule: ribosomal RNA, 253 nt
Filed under: uncultured bacterium
Lineage: Bacteria
Description: partial 16S ribosomal RNA
Rfam family: Bacterial small subunit ribosomal RNA
Source: RNAcentral
UACGUAGGUGGCAAGCGUUGUCCGGAUUUACUGGGCGUAAAGGGCGUGCAGGCGGUUUGUUAAGUCUAGGGUGAAAGCUCCCGGCUCAACUGGGAGAGGUCCUUGGAUACUGGCGAACUUGAGGGAUGCAGAGGAAAGUGGAAUUCCCGGUGUAGUGGUGAUAUGCGUAGAUAUCGGGAGGAACACCAGUGGCGAAGGCAGCUCGCUGGGACGGUACUGACGCUGAGACGCGAAAGCGUGGGGAGCAAACAGG